This 223-nucleotide ribosomal RNA is filed under the name Penicillium sp. BAB-1995. RNAcentral describes it as "partial 28S ribosomal RNA". It matches the Rfam family "Eukaryotic large subunit ribosomal RNA", at positions 328 to 558 of the family's 3401-position model. The record is from RNAcentral. Lineage: Eukaryota; Fungi; Ascomycota; Eurotiomycetes; Eurotiales; Aspergillaceae.
CCCAGACCGAUAGCGAACAAGUAGAGUGAUCGAAAGAUGAAAAGCACUUUGAAAAGAGAGUUAAACAGCACGUGAAAUUGUUGAAAGGGAAGCGCUUGCGACCAGACUCGCCCACGGGGUUCAGCCGGCAUUCGUGCCGGUGUACUUCCCCGCGGGCGGGCCAGCGUCGGUUUGGGCGGCCGGUCAAAGGCCCUCGGAAUGUAACGGCCCCCGGGGCGUCUUA